This 24-nucleotide non-coding RNA is filed under the name Arabidopsis thaliana (thale cress). Lineage: Eukaryota; Viridiplantae; Streptophyta; Magnoliopsida; Brassicales; Brassicaceae. The record is from RNAcentral.
UCAUCCUUCCGCCAAGUCAGCAGU